GAAGCAAAUUUUGGACUUUCUGCCAAUCAGGUGGAACAAACAGCAGUUGGAAUGUUAGAGAGAAGAUAUUGACAAGAAUGACAGUUGGUGGGGGGAGGGGCAACUGGGAGUGGCAGUUGGUCUGGUGAUGCUCUCUCUUCCUGGCCCUUAGACUAAAAGGUGCCUGUCUGGAUAGAAGUGCCUCUAUUCCUGAUUUUCCCAGGGUCUCCCCUGCUCACGUGCUAUUGGUGGCUGGUGGCAGCGUGCUGAGUGUCUUGGUAUCUUGGCGUGGCAGAAGCUAUUGUCCGGGUUUGGCGAGACUUGGAAAGGUGAUUAGAGCAAGGUCAAAGACUCUGAAAAUGGAAGACAAUGUUCUGUGUUUAAAAACUGGAACAACCAAACUGGCUACCUUCAAAGAAACAUAAACCUACUUCUCCUUCUUCAGGAUGGAUGACUUCCUUGGAUAAAGUCACUUCUAACUUGCUACACAGAAAAACCAAAAAUAAAAAACCUGAGAGGAAGCA
RNAcentral lists this long non-coding RNA (503 nucleotides) under Monodelphis domestica (gray short-tailed opossum). RNAcentral describes it as "lncRNA (ENSMODG00000047865.1)". Lineage: Eukaryota; Metazoa; Chordata; Mammalia; Didelphimorphia; Didelphidae. The record is from RNAcentral.